GGAUCAAUUUAUUGGUCGUGCUAUUGUACGUACUGGUAUUAUUGAUUCCUACCUUCUGACGAACCAUGAUGUCAUUAAUUUGGUGUCAUGGGGAAUCAGGACUGUUACUUUGAAUAAAUUAGAGUGUUCAAAGCAGGCAUAAAGGGGCCUUGAAUACAUUAGCAUGGGAUAAUAGAACAG
This 180-nucleotide ribosomal RNA is filed under the name uncultured Glomeromycotina. RNAcentral's name for it is "partial small subunit ribosomal RNA". The record is from RNAcentral. Lineage: Eukaryota; Fungi; Glomeromycota.